GACGAACGCUGGCGGCGUGCUUAACACAUGCAAGUCGAGCGGUAAGGCCCUUUCGGGGGUACACGAGCGGCGAACGGGUGAGUAACACGUGGGUGACCUGCCCUCAGCUCUGGGAUAAGCCUGGGAAACCGGGUCUAAUACUGGAUAUGACUCCAUGACGCAUGUUGUGGGGUGGAAAGCCUUGUGCGGCUGGAGGAGUCGGGCCCGCGGCCUAUCAG
RNAcentral lists this ribosomal RNA (218 nucleotides) under uncultured bacterium. Its description in RNAcentral is "partial 16S ribosomal RNA". It matches the Rfam family "Bacterial small subunit ribosomal RNA", at positions 28 to 244 of the family's 1533-position model. The record is from RNAcentral.